AAGAAAAAUAAUAAUAUUUAUAUUGAUACCGAACUAUUAAUAGCUACAAUACAAGAAGAAAAAUGUAUUUAGAAUUUCUCUUGCGAGGAUUAUAAAAACCGUGAUAAGAAAUAUGCUGCUUUUGAACGUGUGGCUGAAAUAUUGAUUGCAGAUUUUAGUAAUAAGUCUGAGCUAGAAAAGAAGGAUUCAGUUGCUCUAGUGCAAAGAAGAUGAAGGACUGCCAAAGACGCUUAUAUGAGAGAUAAAGCCAAACUUAAAAAUGUUAAGAGUGGAAGCGCUGCUAAGAAAUAUAAGAAGUAUAUAUUUUUCGCCUCGAUCGGACAGUAAAAGUAAAUGAGACUGAUACAAAUUAUGAAGAUGCAGAGGAGAGUGGAGCACAGAAUCCGCAGAAGUUAGAUUAGAAUUGAAACAUUUGAAAGAAAGAAACGUAAGAGGGAUACGGAUACUGAUCAGGACCUCAUAAACUUACUUAAUGGUACUGAAGAAGCGGAGGAAGAUGAUGAUAGGGCAUUUUUUACUUCACUUUUACCUACCGUAAAAUCAUUUGACAAGGCAAAGAAACUACAGUUUCGUGCAGAAGUUAUGCGUUUUAUGCUUGACAUUAAAAACAUUCCCGUAUAUCAACCACGGAAUGCUCUCUCAGGAAAUAGUAGUAUUUAUUCUAGGGUUACUCCUUCACCAGCACCAUCCUGGAGUAGUGCUUACUCGUACGAGGUGUCUAGGCCUAACUUAGGAUCUACCAUUAACUUACAAGAGGGUCACAAUUAUGUGCAUUCAAUACAGAAUCCGAUCGCAGCAUCACAUUAUUCUAACUACACUGCGAUUCCUGCACCAUCACCAACUGAAUCCAUAUCACAAGCAACAAUGCAAAGGAUUUUAUUGACAUUCGAAAAUAUUUAUAACAUUU
This is a long non-coding RNA of Anthonomus grandis grandis, 907 nucleotides long. RefSeq lists it as uncharacterized. The record is from RefSeq and is a predicted model, not a curated record. The transcript is spliced from 3 exons. NCBI's taxonomy places the organism in Eukaryota, Metazoa, Arthropoda, Insecta, Coleoptera, Curculionidae.